ACGCAACCUUUCCUCAGACACACACUCCUUUCCUCUACAUUCACCACUAGCAACAGCCUCUGUUGCCUGAAAUUUACAUCCAUGUACAAGCAGCUCCACUACUAGGUGUGGAUGCCCCAGAAUUGCAGCUUCAAAGACACUUGCCCCACCUGCCAAACUCCUGGAGAGUCUGUGAUUAAUGUCAUUGUUCCAGAAGAGGGAGCAAAAAGCAUAUGAAUGAAAUCUGUGGAUGACAGUAAGGAGAUGCUACAAAUGCUACUUGGGACAGAAAUUCAUACAAAUUAAGUCCAAUGAGAUUGUUUUAAAAAUGUGUGCAGGAAGUACCAAAAUGAGAUUUAACUUGGAAAAUGCAACCUGAUACUGUUGAGGAAAAUUCACUGUGAACAGAGAGAGUUAAUAGGUGGGAGAAUCUUGGAAAAGAGGUGCCAGAGCAUUUCAGAGUUGAUCAUGGUAAACGAGUUAGCUGUUCAUAACAAAAUAGGGAAGAAAAGACAUCUAUCGCUAAGAACUGGCCUAAACAGCAAGAAGCCAGCUAGGUCAAAGUUCACCAAGGUGUUAUUCAUCUCCACAUAUCUCCAGGAUGCUAUAUUCAAUGUGAGAUACUUCCUUCCAAACUUGGAAAUUGCACAAAGAAGAAUCAAAGAAAUGCAGAGUUGGAUUUAGGAGGAAACAUUAAAGGUGGAACUGUUCCUGGAAGAAGGUUGGCGGGAUCCAAAAGUCAACUGUGGACCAUGGUCAACAAAGAUUGCGGAAGGCAGAUAAUCGGUUAUGCUUGAAAGGGGCCCGUUUAUGAAACAGCUCCAGUGGUGUCCGUCAGCUCCAAUAGGUGAUGGGUAGCAGGGUCCACCUUUAAGAUCAGAGAAACAGGAAUGAAGAGACUAAUCCCUUCCAAGCUAAAAUUUGGUCUCCUGGGCAGCUGAAGGGAAGGCCCAAACAUGAGAAAAGAUAAUAAAUAAAUGUGACCAGAAAUCAUACAAAAGGCAUAGAGGCUGAGAAUGCUGGCCUACAACUGGGAUCUCAACAAGCCACAGUCAGGUCCCAUGUGAAAAAAUGGACAGAGCCACUGGAUUUGUAUGCUCUCAUAUGAAUGCAGUAUACUCUUGUAUCACCAGCAAUCUUUGCUACUACUGUUUCAAGAACAUCCUCUUUUAAGUGAAACUUCUUUUUCCUUCUCCUCCCUGAAUGUCAUCUUCUUUUUUGUUUUGGCUUUUCCCUUCCCCUUUACUUCCUGCUUUCUGGAAAGAAGUCCUAUCCUUUCUCCUGUUUUAUCGUCUUUUUCUCUUUGCUUUGCAUCUCUCCUACCCACCCCCCCUCCCCUUUUCCACUUUCCUUCCUCUCAUUUCCUAUUCCAAGAGAGAGAUUUCUCAGAAAGAAUGUUAAGUGCACUGUGCAGAACAGCUAAGCACACAAGCACCUGAGCCAAAAGCAACUGGACAGAUUAUCGUCUCCUCCACACAGCCCCCCAGCUCCACUGCACACAGUGGACUAUUGAUUUCACGUAUGCACUAGAUGUUGGUCUGCCUACGAAGAUGGCAAAAGAAUUUGGUUAGACAGCAUUUUAGUUGCGAGCAAAGUUGGAAGUGGUGUUCUCUAAAAGACCAACAUUUAUUCUAACUGGAUUUUUUCCCCCUCAUAUUGUGAGAAGUCAUGAUGGUGUAAUAAUUUUUUUAAAAAGAUUAGCAUAGCUGUUUUGAGAAUUUACAUGAAGAAAGUAUUUGCUUAGGUGUGCUUCUGGUUGAGUCAUUAGAAAUCAAUAAUACUCUAUGUGCUAAAAUUCUGGAAAAUGUCCCUUGCUGAGAGCAUUAUAAAAAGGAUUCACUCUAUAACUAUUCCUUUAAUGACAUAAAAGAAACAUUCUGCAGGCAGAUUAGUAUAAAUCCCUUGUUUAAAGCACAAUGAGCAAUAUUUAUACCUCCAAUCAGGUGGCUAACUCAAGUCAGGAACAAAAUCAGAUUUCUUUUUUUAAAACUGAGGAAGAGGAUUUUCCACGGGUUCCCCCUAAUAAAUUCCACU
This is a long non-coding RNA of Ornithorhynchus anatinus (platypus), 2013 nucleotides long. RefSeq lists it as uncharacterized. NCBI's taxonomy places the organism in Eukaryota, Metazoa, Chordata, Mammalia, Monotremata, Ornithorhynchidae. The transcript has 5 exons. The record is from RefSeq and is a predicted model, not a curated record.